Molecule: ribosomal RNA, 397 nt
Filed under: uncultured bacterium
Lineage: Bacteria
Description: partial 16S ribosomal RNA
Rfam family: Bacterial small subunit ribosomal RNA
Source: RNAcentral
AUACGUAGGGGGCGAGCGUUGUCCGGAAUGAUUGGGCGUAAAGGGCGCGUAGGCGGCCCGGUAAGUCUGGAGUGAAAGUCCUGUUUUUAAGAUGGGAAUUGCUUUGGAUACUGUCGGGCUUGAGUGCAGGAGAGGUAAGUGGAAUUCCCAGUGUAGCGGUGAAAUGCGUAGAGAUUGGGAGGAACACCAGUGGCGAAGGCGACUUACUGGACUGUAACUGACGCUGAGGCGCGAAAGUGUGGGGAGCAAACAGGAUUAGAUACCCUGGUAGUCCACACUGUAAACGAUGAAUGCUAGGUGUAGGGGGUAUCGACCCCUUCUGUGCCGCAGUCAACACAAUAAGCAUUCCGCCUGGGGAGUACGGCCGCAAGGUUGAAACGCAAAGGAAUUGACGGGG